RNAcentral lists this long non-coding RNA (1568 nucleotides) under Monodelphis domestica (gray short-tailed opossum). Its description in RNAcentral is "lncRNA (ENSMODG00000030059.2)". Lineage: Eukaryota; Metazoa; Chordata; Mammalia; Didelphimorphia; Didelphidae. The record is from RNAcentral.
CCUCCUUCCUCUUCAUCCGUCCCUCCCUCACUCCCUCCCCAGGACCUCCCGAGCCAGUGGGGCCGAGGAGGAGGCGGCGCAGGGAGCGGGCACCGGGUGGAGAGGGAGCGGGAGGCGGGGUCCGGCGGCAGCUUCAGGCACCGGGGGCGUCACCGGGGUAGGGCGCAGGGCGCAGGGCGCACGGACGAGAGCCUGGGGAGCAGCCGAACAAAGGCUCCUGGGCCACUAAGGCGGCGGACGUUCGGACUCCAGCUCUCCUCUCCCGGACCAGCAGGCUCUAGCUUCUUGAGCUGUGCAGCCGCCGGCCCUGGGGCGGGGGGCGGGGAAGAGGCGCGAGGAGGAGCCGGGGGCCCCGGGAGCCGGCCCUGGGGCUGGGGGCGGGAGGGGAGCACGUUGCCUCUCUCAGCUGGAGGCGCCUCGGCGGAGCCGGAAAAUGCGCCCGAAGGAGUCGGGGGCUUGCAGCACCUGGUGCCUCCUACUGCUGUUGCAGCUGGGCUGCCGGAGCGCAGCGCAGCUGCGGAGACAGGGCUACUUGAUUGCGGCCCCUUCUGUGUUCCGUUCAGGAGUAGAGGAGGUUAUUAGUGUGACCAUCUUUAACUCGGUGAAGGAAACCACUGUGCAGAUUCAGCUAGUGGUCAAAGGAGAGACCGUAGCUCGGGGCCAUGGAACCAUUCUUGGUAAGUGGACCUUCUGGCUGACCAAACCCACUUAGUAGAGGUGAUGACGUGACAUCAGAAGUUUGGAUUUUUGCUUUCUCAAGACAAAUCACUGGUCUUUCUGGAUUUUGCUGGCUUGAAUCUCUUAUUGUAGUUAUUUACUAGCUAAUAGGCAGAUGAUUCCAAACAACAUCUCAGUAUUUCUGCAUUUUCCCCAACACACAGAGACCUGUUAUUCAGGAAACCUGUAGUCUAGUCUUGGCCCUGUCACUGACUAGCUGAAUGAUCUUGGACAAGUCUUUUACCCAUGCUGGAAAAUCGAAAACAGAUCAGAUGCCAUGAUGGUAGUGGCAGAGGCAGUACUUAGAUUGGAACCUGAGUUUUCUUCAUUCCAAGUCCAAAUUUUGGGUUUUUUGUUUCUAUUGGUAAUGCACUUACUGUGCUAGGGAAUAAGGGGGAAAGGUUGACAGCUCUCUAUCCUCAGGGAUUUCAUAGGCUAGUAGGAGGAAAUAUUAUAUAAGGACAGGAAAGGUUUGAUUACAAUGCAGGAGAUAAAUAACUCUAGGAGAUAUGAUAAGGCACUGUGCCAUGUAUCGUCAGUAAAUACUCUGGGUUUUGAAGGGAAAGAGAGAGAGAGAGAGAACCAUGUCUUAAAUGAGUCUGCCAUAGCUUUUUUGUUUAUUUAUUUAAACCCUUCUAUAUCUAAGUAUCAGUUAGGUAAUUGGGGUUAAGCAACUUGCCCAGGAAGUAUCUGAGGUCAAAUUUGAAUCCAGAACCUCCUGUCUCCAGGACUGGAUCUCUAUCCACUGAGUCAUCUAGCUGCCCCUGCCACAGCUUUUUGAAAAAAGAUGCAUUUACUGUAAGGAUUCUCUCUGCUCCCUGAUUCUGGUGCUUUGGCCUUUGAUAGGAAGU